Molecule: ribosomal RNA, 323 nt
Filed under: uncultured bacterium
Lineage: Bacteria
Description: bacterial SSU rRNA
Rfam family: Bacterial small subunit ribosomal RNA
Source: RNAcentral
GAUGAACGCUGGCGGCGUGCUUAACACAUGCAAGUCGAACGGGGAACCUUUUAUUGAAGCUUCGGCAGAUUUAGAUUGUUUCUAGUGGCGGACGGGUGAGUAACGCGUGGGUAACCUGCCUUAUACAGGGGGAUAACAGUCAGAAAUGACUGCUAAUACCGCAUAAGCGCACAGAGCUGCAUGGCUCGGUGUGAAAAACUCCGGUGGUAUAAGAUGGACCCGCGUUGGAUUAGCUGGUUGGUGGGGUAACGGCCCACCAAGGCGACGAUCAGUAGCCGGCCUGAGAGGGUGAACGGCCACAUUGGGACUGAGACACGGCCCAG